GCCGAGGUGGUGGAAUGGCAGACACGCGAGACUCAAAAUCUCGAGUCGCUUUGGCGGCGUGUGGGUUCAAGUCCCACCCUCGGCACCA
RNAcentral lists this transfer RNA (88 nucleotides) under Candidatus Endomicrobiellum cubanum. RNAcentral describes it as "tRNA-Leu". It matches the Rfam family "tRNA". From Rfam's summary of the family: Transfer RNA (tRNA) molecules are approximately 80 nucleotides in length. Their secondary structure includes four short double-helical elements and three loops (D, anti-codon, and T loops). Further hydrogen bonds mediate the characteristic L-shaped molecular structure. tRNAs have two regions of fundamental functional importance: the anti-codon, which is responsible for specific mRNA codon recognition, and the 3' end, to which the tRNAs corresponding amino acid is attached (by aminoacyl-tRNA synthetases). tRNAs cope with the degeneracy of the genetic code in two manners: having more than one tRNA (with a specific anti-codon) for a particular amino acid; and 'wobble' base-pairing, i.e. permitting non-standard base-pairing at the 3rd anti-codon position. Lineage: Bacteria; Pseudomonadati; Elusimicrobiota; Endomicrobiia; Endomicrobiales; Endomicrobiaceae. The record is from RNAcentral.